UACGUAGGGUGCGAGCGUUACUCGGAAUUACUGGGCGUAAAGCGUGCGCAGGCGGUUUUGUAAGCCAGAUGUGAAAGCCCCGGGCUCAACCUGGGAAUGGCAUUUGGGACUGCAAGGCUGGAGUAUGGCAGAGGAGACUAGAAUUCCUGGUGUAGCAGUGAAAUGCGUAGAUAUCAGGAGGAAUACCGAUGGCGAAGGCAGGUCUCUGGGCCAAUACUGACGCUCAUGCACGAAAGCGUGGGGAGCAAACAGG
This 253-nucleotide ribosomal RNA is filed under the name uncultured bacterium. RNAcentral's name for it is "partial 16S ribosomal RNA". It matches the Rfam family "Bacterial small subunit ribosomal RNA", at positions 524 to 776 of the family's 1533-position model. The record is from RNAcentral.